CCUUUAAAAAAAUUAAUGAAAGAUUAUGGUGGUUUGGUCCGGUAACGACGCUUUCGCGAAUUAUUAAUUUAUUUAAAUUAAUUACUCGUGUGUUUUAGUGUAAAUUGAAGUCUGUGUUAAUAAAUCGUGUUACGGAUUGAUUGUUCAGUGUAACGGUGUGAAAGAUGAGUCAAAAGGCGAGUCGGAAGAGUGCGGUCAAUGAAGAAAAAGAAAAG
This is a long non-coding RNA of Ostrinia furnacalis (Asian corn borer), 215 nucleotides long. RefSeq lists it as uncharacterized. Lineage: Eukaryota; Metazoa; Arthropoda; Insecta; Lepidoptera; Crambidae. The transcript has 2 exons. The record is from RefSeq and is a predicted model, not a curated record.